UACGAAGGGGGCUAGCGUUGCUCGGAAUCACUGGGCGUAAAGCGCACGUAGGCGGAUUGUUAAGUCGGGGGUGAAAUCCUGGAGCUCAACUCCAGAACUGCCUUCGAUACUGGCGAUCUUGAGUCCGGGAGAGGUGAGUGGAACUCCGAGUGUAGAGGUGAAAUUCGUAGAUAUUCGGAAGAACACCAGUGGCGAAGGCGGCUCACUGGCCCGGUACUGGCGCUGAGGUGCGAAAGCGUGGGGAGCGAACAGG
RNAcentral lists this ribosomal RNA (253 nucleotides) under uncultured bacterium. Its description in RNAcentral is "partial 16S ribosomal RNA". It matches the Rfam family "Bacterial small subunit ribosomal RNA", at positions 524 to 776 of the family's 1533-position model. The record is from RNAcentral.